GGCUUUUAAUACCACAUAACAGUUGAAGAAAUUAAAGGGGGAAUGACAUGCAGAAAAAGGGCCGCAGGGUGGAGUCAAACCCACAGCCACUGUGCUGAGUAAACCACCA
Molecule: long non-coding RNA, 109 nt
Organism: Etheostoma cragini (Arkansas darter)
Lineage: Eukaryota; Metazoa; Chordata; Actinopteri; Perciformes; Percidae
Exons: 3
Source: RefSeq, a predicted model, not a curated record